UCAUGAGUCACCUGUUUUAUUAUUGUUUAAAAUUAAUUAAGGUUUAAUAUUAAUAAAGAAAAUUGGUACUAUCAUCCUAAGAAUAUUUCUUGUAUUUUUUAAUGAAUCCAUUCAAUAAUGCAUCAGAUCUGAGGCUUUGAGGGCUGAUUUUUGAUCCAGAAAGUAGUCAGUUCCACAGUUCUCUUCUGAAGGCUCAAGUUUCUUUCUUUCUUUCUUUCUUUCUUUCUUUCUUUCUUUCUUUCUUUCUUUCUUUUUUUCUUUCUUUCUUUCUUUCUUUCUUUCUUUUUUUCUUUCUUUCUUUCUUUCUUUCUUUCUUUCUUUCUUUCUUUCUUUCUUUCUUUCUUUCUUUCUUUCUUUCUUUCUUUCUUUCUUUCUUUNNNNNNNNNNNNNNNNNNNNNNNNNAUUCUUUUAUAUUUCUUUCCCUUCCUUUAUACUUUCCUUUCCCUUAUACUUUCCUUUCCAUUCCUAUUUUAAACUUACCCAUUCCUUUCAUUUAUACUUUCUUAUCCUUUCCAAUAUACUUACCUUUGCUUCCUUUCUUUUAUACUUUCCCUUCCCUAUAUACUUUCCUUUUCUUUUAUACUUUCCUUUCCUUUAUACUUUCCAUUCCCUUAUACUUUCCUUUCCAUUCCUAUUUUAAAAUUACCCAUUCCUUUCAUUUAUACUUUCUUAUCCUUUCCAAUAUACUUCCCUAUCCUUACAAUUCUACAUACAUUGACUUUCCUUUAUACUUUGCUUUCCUUUCCAUUAUAUCUACCUUUUCCUUUCUUUUCUAUUCCCUUCCUUUCCCUUCCUUUAUACUUACCUCUGGCUUCCUUUCUUUAUACUUUCCCUUCCUUUAUACUUUCCUUUUCUUUAUACUUUCCAUUAUACUUUCCUUUCUUUUGUACCUUCCUUUCCUUUACACUUUCCUUUCCUUAGCAUACCUUUAUACUUUCCUUUCAUUUUCUUUUCCUUUUCCUUCCCCCCCCCUUUUUUCUUCUUUUCUCUUUACUUUUUCUUUUUUUUCUACUUAUUUUUCUUGCCUUCUUUCCUUAUCCUUUGGCUUUUUCUUCCUCUUUUUGUUUUGUUUUUCUUCCCCAUUUUCUUUCCCUUCUCCUUUUUCGAUUCUUUUUCUUCCCAAAUCUUCUUCUAUUUCUCCCUGUUUUCUUUCCCUCGUCUUUCUUCCCCUUUUAUCUUUUACUUUCUCCGGUUUUAUGUUUUUUUUUCCCUAUUUCUUUUUCUUUACCCUUUUCUUCCCUAUCUUCAUUUUAUUUUUCUUCUUUCUUGCUUUCUUUUUAAUUUUUUUCAGAUUUCUUUAACAUUUUUAUCUGUUCCACGUUUCAACAAUUACUUGUUUAUUUCUUCGCUUUUCUUCCUCAUUCGUCCCCACC
RNAcentral lists this long non-coding RNA (1373 nucleotides) under Coturnix japonica (Japanese quail). RNAcentral describes it as "lncRNA (ENSCJPG00005014883.1)". Lineage: Eukaryota; Metazoa; Chordata; Aves; Galliformes; Phasianidae. The record is from RNAcentral.